Anguilla rostrata (American eel) is the source of this 831-nucleotide long non-coding RNA. RefSeq lists it as uncharacterized. Lineage: Eukaryota; Metazoa; Chordata; Actinopteri; Anguilliformes; Anguillidae. The transcript is spliced from 2 exons. The record is from RefSeq and is a predicted model, not a curated record.
UUGAUUUAGAUGUGUUGCGUUAGAAUUUUAAAUGCCUAUAUUUUACAAUAUUGCUAAUAUUUGCACAGGAAUGGAACAUUUUCUGUAAUGAAACAUUCAAUAAGUAAUAUUUGUGGAACAUUCAGACCAACUAAGCGUUUAUAUACACACUGUACACUUUAUGUAAAUAGGAAUUCCCAUGAGAGGCGGUUAUGUAAAUCCCAUGAGCUCCAUGUUCUUUAAAACACAGAAAUUACAGUACAUAUUCAGUGAGGAGCAGCACUGUUCACUUCUUGUCUUUUGUUGCUGUAAAUGAAAUAAAAUGGAGGCCUUAGUAUUCAUCAUAGCUUUGCUGUUUGUGUUUAAAUAUGCUCAUUGUGACAUCACACUGACAGAGUCUGCUCCACAGAUGAAGAAGCCUGGAGAUUCCGUGAGGAUCUCCUGCAAAAUUACUGGAUUCUCACUCAGCAGCUACAAUGUGCACUGGGUUCGACAGGCUCCAAACAAAGGGCUGCAAUGGGUUGGAUACCACAGUGGUUCUUUUGACGAUCGUUUCAAAGUUACAGGAGAUUCAUCCAACAGCAUUGCUUACUUAGACAUCACCGAUCUCCAGUCCUCAGACACAGCUGUGUAUUACUGUGCCCGAGAGACACAAUGAAAGAGUUUAAGGCCCUGCUGCACAAAAACCCUCCACAGAUGAUUUAGCAGGCAGUGUGUGACUGGCUGUGCUGUGUGGCCUAUAGACAUUUUCCGUUAUUGUUUUUCUCCUGGAUUUCCACCAUAAGGCUUCAUCACACAUUUUUAAACAAAGUUGAAAUUAAUUUAAGAAAAUAAAAAAUACAUUUAAUCCAA